This 465-nucleotide ribosomal RNA is filed under the name uncultured bacterium. RNAcentral describes it as "partial 16S ribosomal RNA". It matches the Rfam family "Bacterial small subunit ribosomal RNA", at positions 28 to 507 of the family's 1533-position model. The record is from RNAcentral.
GACGAACGCUGGCGGCGUGCUUAACACAUGCAAGUCGUACGGUAAGGCCCUUUCGGGGGUACACGAGUGGCGAACGGGUGAGUAACACGUGAGUAACCUGCCCACAACUUUGGGAUAACGCUAGGAAACUGGUGCUAAUACUGGAUAUGUGCUCCUGCUGCAUGGUGGGGGUUGGAAAGCUCCGGCGGUUGUGGAUGGACUCGCGGCCUAUCAGCUUGUUGGUGGGGUAGUGGCCUACCAAGGCGGCGACGGGUAGCCGGCCUGAGAGGGUGACCGGCCACAUUGGGACUGAGAUACGGCCCAGACUCCUACGGGAGGCAGCAGUGGGGAAGAUUGCACAAUGGGCGCAAGCCUGAUGCAGCAACGCCGCGUGCGGGAUAACGGCCUUCGGGUUGUAAACCGCUUUCAGCAGGGACGAAGCUUUUUGUGACGGUACCUGCAGAAGAAGCACCGGCUAACUACGUG